This 468-nucleotide ribosomal RNA is filed under the name uncultured bacterium. Its description in RNAcentral is "partial 16S ribosomal RNA". It matches the Rfam family "Bacterial small subunit ribosomal RNA", at positions 28 to 507 of the family's 1533-position model. The record is from RNAcentral.
GACGAACGCUGGCGGCGUGCUUAACACAUGCAAGUCGAACGGAAAGGCCCUGCUUUUGUGGGGUGCUCGAGUGGCGAACGGGUGAGUAACAAGUGAGUAACCUGCCCCUGACUUUGGGAUAACUUCAGGAAACUGGGGUUAAUACCGGAUAGGAGCUCCUGCUGCAUGGGGGGGGUUGGAAAGUUUCGGCGGUUGGGGAUGGACUCGCGGUUUAUCAGCUGGUUGGGGGGGUGGUGGCUUACCAAGGCUUUGACGGGUAGCCGGCCUGGGCGGGUGACCGGCCACAUUGGGACUGGGUUACGGCCCAGACUCCUACGGGGGGAAGCAGUGGGAAAUAUUGCACAAUGGGCGGAAGCCUGAUGCAGCAACGCCGCGUGCGGGAUGAGGGCCUUCGGGUUGUAAACCGCUUUCGCCUGUGACGAAGCGGGAGUGACGGUAAUGGGUAAAGAAGCACCGGCUAACUACGUG